This 496-nucleotide ribosomal RNA is filed under the name uncultured bacterium. RNAcentral describes it as "partial 16S ribosomal RNA". It matches the Rfam family "Bacterial small subunit ribosomal RNA", at positions 29 to 507 of the family's 1533-position model. The record is from RNAcentral.
AUGAACGCUGGCGGCGUGCCUCAUACAUGCAAGUCGAGCGAACGGACGAGAAGCUUGCUUCUCUGAUGUUAGCGGCGGACGGGUGAGUAACACGUGGAUAACCUACCUAUAAGACUGGGAUAACUUCGGGAAACCGGAGCUAAUACCGGAUAAUAUUUUGAACCGCAUGGUUCAAAAGUGAAAGACGGUCUUGCUGUCACUUAUAGAUGGAUCCGCGCUGCAUUAGCUAGUUGGUAAGGUAACGGCUUACCAAGGCAACGAUGCAUAGCCGACCUGAGAGGGUGAUCAGCCACACUGGAACUGAGACACGGUCCAGACUCCUACGGGAGGCAGCAGUAGGGAAUCUUCCGCAAUGGGCGAAAGCCUGACGGAGCAACGCCGCGUGAGUGAUGAAGGUCUUCGGAUCGUAAAACUCUGUUAUUAGGGAAGAACAUAUGUGUAAGUAACUGUGCACAUCUUGACGGUACCUAAUCAGAAAGCCACGGCUAACUACGUG